ACGGACCGACUCAAUACCCACGG
This 23-nucleotide non-coding RNA is filed under the name Arabidopsis thaliana (thale cress). Lineage: Eukaryota; Viridiplantae; Streptophyta; Magnoliopsida; Brassicales; Brassicaceae. The record is from RNAcentral.